RNAcentral lists this ribosomal RNA (254 nucleotides) under uncultured bacterium. RNAcentral describes it as "partial 16S ribosomal RNA". It matches the Rfam family "Bacterial small subunit ribosomal RNA", at positions 524 to 776 of the family's 1533-position model. The record is from RNAcentral.
UACGUAUGGGGCAAGCGUUGUCCGGAUUUAUUGGGCGUAAAGAGCUCGUAGGCGGUGUGUCGCGUCGGCCGUGAAAACCUGCAGCUUAACUGUGGGCUUGCGGUCGAUACGGGCAUCACUGGAGUUCGGCAGGGGAGACUGGAAUUCCUGGUGUAGCGGUGGAAUGCGCAGAUAUCAGGAGGAACACCGGUGGCGAAGGCGGGUCUCUGGGCAGUAACUGACGCUGAGGAGCGAAAGCGUGGGGAGCGAACAGG